AGACCUCAGGUCAGGCGGGGCUACCCAUUGAGUUUAAGUAUAUCAAUAAACAGAGGAAAAGAAACUAACAAGGACUCCCUUAGUAACAGCAAGCGAACUGGGAAGAGCCCACCAUGAAAAUCAAUCAUCUUUGACAUCCAAAUUAUAGUCUGGAGAAGCAUCCUCAGUGGCGGAUCGGACCCAAGUCCCCUGGAAGGGGGUGCCAGAGAGGGUGAGAGCCCCAUCGUGUCCGGACCCUGUCGCACCACGAGGCGCUAUUGGCGAGUCGGGUUAUUUGGGAAUGUAUCCUCAAUCAGGCGGUAAAUUCCGUCCAAGGCUAAAUACUGGCGAGAGACCGAGAGCAAACAAGUACCACGAUGGAAAGAUGAAAAGGACUUUGAAAAGAGAGUCAAAGAGUGCUUGAAAUUUUUGGGAGGGAAGUGGAUGGGGGUCGGCGGUAUGUCUCGGUUUGAUGUGGAACGGUGUUAGCUAGUCUGCCGAUCGACUCGGGGCAUUGACCGAUGUGGAUUGUGAUGGUGGCCGAAGCUCGGGUUGUUGAAAUGUUCAUGGAGACUUCAUCGUCACGAUUGUGGAUGGCAGCAUGCGUCUUUGUGGCGUGCUUCGGCACUUUCAUGCUCCGGGUAUCGGCUUUUGGGCUCCCCAUUCGGCCCGUCUUGAAACAUGGACCAAGGAGUCUGACAUGUGUGUGAGUCAAUGUGUGAGUAAACAUGUAUGGUGCAAGGAAGCUGAUUGGCAGGAUCCCCUUGUGGGUUGCACCAUCGACUGACCCUGAUCUUCUGCGAAGGGUUCGAGUGAGAGCAUACCUGUCGGGACCCAAAAGAUGGUGAACUAUGCCUGAGCGGGGCAAAGCCAGAGGAAACUCUGGUGGAGGCUCGCAGCGAUACUAAAAUGCAAAUCAUUCGACUGACUUGGGUAUAAGGGCAAAAGACUAAUCGAAUCUUCUAGUAGCUGGUUCCCUAUGAAGUUUCCCUUAGGAUAGCUGGAGCCUACGGGCGAGUUCUAUCGAGUAAAGCCAAUGAUUAGAGGCAUCGGGGGCGCAACGCCCUCGACCUAUUCUCAAACUUUAAAUAGGUAGGACGGUGUGGCUGCUUUGUUGAGCCACUCCAUGGAAUCGAGAGCUCCAAGUGGGCCAUUUUUGGUAAGCAGAACUGGCGAUGCGGGAUGAACCGGAAGCUGGGUUACGGUGCCCAACUGUGCACUAACCUAGACUCCACAAAGGGUUUUGGUCGAUUAAGACAGCAGGACGGUGGUCAUGGAAGUCGAAAUCCACUAAGCAGUGUGUAACAACUCACUUGCCGAAUCAACUAGCCCCGAAAAUGGAUGGCGCUAAAGCGCGCGACCUAUACCCGGCGUUCGAGGCAAGAGCCAAGCCUCGAUGAGUAGGAAGGCGCCGCGAUCAUUGUAAAACCCGGGGCCGAAGAGGGGAAAGGUUCCAUGAGAACGACACUUGCACAUGGGUUAGUCGAUCCUAAGGGACGGGGGAAGCCCAUUUGAUAGCGCUCUAAGCGCGUACUUUGAAAAGGAAUCGGGUUAAAAUUCCUUAAUCGGGACGUGGCGGCUGACGACAACGUUAGGGAGUCUAGAGACGUUGACGGGGGCCCCGAAAAGAGUUAUCUUUUUUGUUUAACAGCCUACCCACCCUGGAAACGGCUCAGCCAGAGGUAGGGUCUAGCAGCUGGAAGAGCACCACACGUUACAUGGUGUCCGGUGCACCCCCGGUGACCCCUUAAAAUCUGAAGGGCCGAGUGCCUCCCAUACUCGGUCGUACUUAUAACCGCAUCAGGUCUCCAAGGUGAAUAGCCUCUGGUUGAUGGAACAAUGUAAGCAAGGGAAGUCAGCAAAAUGGAUCCGUAACCUCGGGAAAAGGAUUGGCUUGAGGGGUGGGCACGAGGGUCCCAGUCCUGAACUCGUUAGUUGUCGAUGGACUGCUCGAGCUGCUUUUGCGACGAGAGCGGGUCGUCGCGUCUCGAUCAGGGGACGGAUUAGGAACGGGCCUUUCUGGGCCUCUUCCCCGGGCGUCGAACAGUCGAAUAAAAAUUGGUACGGACAAGGGGAAUCCAACUAUUUAAUUAAAACAAAGCAUUGCGAUGCUCCUUGCGGAUGUUGACGCAAUGUGAUUUCUUCCUAGUUCUUUGAAUGUCAAAGUGAAGAAAUUCAACCAAGCGCGGGUAAAUGUCAGGAGUAACUAUGACUCUCUUAAGGUAGCCAAAUGCCUCGUCAUCGAAUUAGUCACACGCAUGAAUGGAUUAAGGAGAUUCUCACUGUCCCUGUUUACUAUCCAGCGAAACCACAGCCAAGGGAACGGGUUUGGCAGAAUAAGCGGGGAAAGAAGACCCUGUUGAGCUUGAAUCUAGUCCGACUUUGUGAAAUGACUUGAAAGGUGUAGGAUAAGUGGGAGCUGUAAACAAAGAAAGUGAAAUACCACUACUUUUAACGUUAUUUUACUUAUUUCAUGAAUCGGAAGCGGGGCAUUGCCCCUUUUUUUGGACCCAAGGCUGGCUUCGAUUGGUCGAUCUGAGCGGAAGACAUUGUCAGUGAGGAAUUUGGUUGGGGCGACACAUCUGUUAAAAGAUAACUCAGGUGUCCUAAGAUGAGCUCAACGAGAAGAGAAAUCUCGUGUGGAACAAAAGGGUAAAAGCUCGUUUGAUUAUGAUUUCCAAUAUCAAUAUGAACCGUGAAAGUGUGGCCUAUCGAUCCUUUAGUCCUUCGAAAUUUGAAGCUAGAGGUGUCAGAAAAGUUACCACAGGUAUAACUGGCUUGUCGCAGCCAAGUGUUCAUAGCGAAGUUGCUUUUUGAUCCUUUGAUGUCAGCUCUUCCUAUCAUUGUGUUGCAUUUUUGGUAUUACUAGCCAUAAAUCACACUAAAGUAGAGCACCCAACUAUGGCAAGGCCCCUUAAGUAAGGGUUAGGUUAGUCAAUCCGGCCUGAGACGCGUUCGUUGAAAAAACCGCCGUAGGAAUCGAGACCUUUCAAUAGAGAGAAGGCGAACUGAUCAACCAGAAAGAGGCCCUACUCACUACAAACGAAUACACCACAACAUCGACCCUCUACGUAGUUCUUCUAUCAAUUAUGUACGUAGGUAGGGUCCUCCGUUCUUAUUGGUAUAUCAUGAAAAAAUCCAUUUGCACCAGGUGCACUACGCUUUCCCUUGCCUAGAUGUUCGCCUUUCUAAGUCAAGUAAUGGUGACCCGCCGAAGACUAGAGCCUCAAAACAUGUUGACGAAGACCUCUGAACGGAGGGUCCGGUCAGUAAAGGGGACGACUUUCCCUCCCUGUAGACCCCUAAAAUUGUCCGGGUCGGAAA
This is a ribosomal RNA of Cajanus cajan (pigeon pea), 3303 nucleotides long. It matches the Rfam family "Eukaryotic large subunit ribosomal RNA". The record is from Rfam. NCBI's taxonomy places the organism in Eukaryota, Viridiplantae, Streptophyta, Magnoliopsida, Fabales, Fabaceae.